This 496-nucleotide ribosomal RNA is filed under the name uncultured bacterium. RNAcentral describes it as "partial 16S ribosomal RNA". It matches the Rfam family "Bacterial small subunit ribosomal RNA", at positions 28 to 507 of the family's 1533-position model. The record is from RNAcentral.
GAUGAACGCUGGCGGCGUGCCUAAUACAUGCAAGUCGAGCGAACAGACGAGGAGCUUGCUCCUUUGACGUUAGCGGCGGACGGGUGAGUAACACGUAGGUAACCUACCUAUAAGACUGGGAUAACUUCGGGAAACCGGAGCUAAUACCGGAUAAUAUUUCGAACCGCAUGGUUCGAUAGUGAAAGAUGGCUUUGCUAUCACUUAUAGAUGGACCUGCGCCGUAUUAGCUAGUUGGUAAGGUACGGCUUACCAAGGCAACGAUACGUAGCCGACCUGAGAGGGUGAUCGGCCACACUGGAACUGAGACACGGUCCAGACUCCUACGGGAGGCAGCAGUAGGGAAUCUUCCGCAAUGGGCGAAAGCCUGACGGAGCAACGCCGCGUGAGUGAUGAAGGUCUUCGGAUCGUAAAACUCUGUUAUUAGGGAAGAACAAACGUGUAAGUAACUGUGCACGUCUUGACGGUACCUAAUCAGAAAGCCACGGCUAACUACGUG